GACGAACGCUGGCGGCGUGCUUAACACAUGCAAGUCGAACGGUGAAGCUCCAGCUUGCUGGCGUGGAUCAGUGGCGAACGGGUGAGUAACACGUGAGCAACCUGCCCCAGACUCUGGAAUAAGCGCUGGAAACGGCGUCUAAUACUGGAUACGAGAUCAAGCCGCAUGGUUAUGGUCUGGGAAGUUUUUCGGUUUGGGAUGGGCUCGCGGCCUAUCAGCUUGUUGGUGAGGUAAUGGCUCACCAAGGCGACGACGGGUAGCCGGCCUGAGAGGGCGACCGGCCACACUGGGACUGAGAGACGGACCAGACUCCUACGGGAGGCAGCAGUGGGGAAUAUUGCACAAUGGGCGAAAGCCUGAUGCAGCGACGCCGCGUGAGGGAUGACGGCCUUCGGGUUGUAAACCUCUUUCAGCAGGGAAGAAGCGAAAGUGACGGUACCUGCAGAAGAAGCACCGGCUAACUACGUG
This 468-nucleotide ribosomal RNA is filed under the name uncultured bacterium. RNAcentral's name for it is "partial 16S ribosomal RNA". It matches the Rfam family "Bacterial small subunit ribosomal RNA", at positions 28 to 507 of the family's 1533-position model. The record is from RNAcentral.